RNAcentral lists this ribosomal RNA (702 nucleotides) under Curtobacterium sp. RNAcentral's name for it is "bacterial SSU rRNA". It matches the Rfam family "Bacterial small subunit ribosomal RNA", at positions 52 to 767 of the family's 1533-position model. The record is from RNAcentral. Lineage: Bacteria; Bacillati; Actinomycetota; Actinomycetes; Micrococcales; Microbacteriaceae.
CACAUGCAGUCGAACGAUGAUGCCCAGCUUGCUGGGUGGAUUAGUGGCGAACGGGUGAGUAACACGUGAGUAACCUGCCCCUGACUCUGGGAUAAGCGUUGGAAACGACGUCUAAUACUGGAUAUGAUCACUGGCCGCAUGGUCUGGUGGUGGAAAGAUUUUUUGGUUGGGGAUGGACUCGCGGCCUAUCAGCUUGUUGGUGAGGUAAUGGCUCACCAAGGCGACGACGGGUAGCCGGCCUGAGAGGGUGACCGGCCACACUGGGACUGAGACACGGCCCAGACUCCUACGGGAGGCAGCAGUGGGGAAUAUUGCACAAUGGGCGAAAGCCUGAUGCAGCAACGCCGCGUGAGGGAUGACGGCCUUCGGGUUGUAAACCUCUUUUAGUAGGGAAGAAGCGAAAGUGACGGUACCUGCAGAAAAAGCACCGGCUAACUACGUGCCAGCAGCCGCGGUAAUACGUAGGGUGCAAGCGUUGUCCGGAAUUAUUGGGCGUAAAGAGCUCGUAGGCGGUUUGUCGCGUCUGCUGUGAAAUCCCGAGGCUCAACCUCGGGCUUGCAGUGGGUACGGGCAGACUAGAGUGCGGUAGGGGAGAUUGGAAUUCCUGGUGUAGCGGUGGAAUGCGCAGAUAUCAGGAGGAACACCGAUGGCGAAGGCAGAUCUCUGGGCCGUAACUGACGCUGAGGAGCGAAAGCAUGGGGA